This 433-nucleotide ribosomal RNA is filed under the name uncultured bacterium. RNAcentral's name for it is "partial 16S ribosomal RNA". It matches the Rfam family "Bacterial small subunit ribosomal RNA", at positions 29 to 507 of the family's 1533-position model. The record is from RNAcentral.
AACGAACGCUGGCGGCAGGCCUAACACAUGCAAGUCGAGCGCGCCCUUCGGGGUGAGCGGCGGACGGGUGAGUAACGCGUGGGAACGUGCCCUUUUCUACGGAAUAGCCUCGGGAAACUGAGAGUAAUACCGUAUACGCCCUUUGGGGGAAAGAUUUAUCGGAAAAGGAUCGGCCUGCGUUGGAUUAGGUAGUUGGUGGGGUAAUGGCCUACCCAGCCGACGAUCCAUAGCUGGUUUGAGAGGAUGAUCAGCCACACUGGGCCUGAGACACGGCCCAGACUCCUACGGGAGGCAGCAGUGGGGAAUCUUAGACAAUGGGGGCAACCCUGAUCCAGCCAUGCCGCGUGAGUGAUGAAGGCCUUAGGGUUGUAAAGCUCUUUCAGCUGGGAAGAUAAUGACGGUACCAGCAGAAGAAGCCCCGGCUAACUCCGUG